CCUACGGGAGGCUGCAGUGAGGAAUAUUGGUCAAUGGGCGCGAGCCUGAACCAGCCAAGUAGCGUGAAGGAUGACUGCCCUACGGGUUGUAAACUUCUUUUAUAAAGGGACAAAAUCAGGCUCGAGAGCCUGACCGAGGGUACUUGAAGAAUAAGCAUCGGCUAACUCCGUGCCAGCAGCCGCGGUAAUACGGAGGAUGCGAGCGUUAUCCGGAUUUAUUGGGUUUAAAGGGUGCGUAGGGGGACGGUUAAGUCAGCGGUAAAAGCCCGGGGCUAAACCCCGGCGAGCCGUUGAAACUGGCUGUCUUGAGAUGUGGAGAGGUAUGCGGAAUGCGUAGUGUAGCGGUGAAAUGCUUAGAUAUUGCGCAGAAUUCCGAUUGCGAAGGCAGCAUACUGGCGGCGCUCUGACGCUGAGGCACGAAAGCGUGGGUAUCGAACAGGAUUAGAUACCCUGGUAGUC
This 459-nucleotide ribosomal RNA is filed under the name uncultured bacterium. Its description in RNAcentral is "partial 16S ribosomal RNA". It matches the Rfam family "Bacterial small subunit ribosomal RNA", at positions 338 to 795 of the family's 1533-position model. The record is from RNAcentral.